CAAGCCGAGUGGAGAGCUCCUCAUCAUCAGGUGGCACAAUGGUUUCAGGAGGUGGAGCCAUGAUGUCAGGAGGUGGAGCCAUGAUUUCAGGAGGUGGGGCCCAAAUGAUGUCAGGAGGUAUGAUGUCAUCGGAGACUGUCCAAAUAUCAUCAGGUGGCUCAUUGGUGUCAGGUGGUGGGGCAGGAAUGAUGUCAGGAGGUGAAGGCAUGAUGUCCAGUGGCGGUUCCAUGAUAUCUGGUGGCAUGAUGUCAUCAGGUGGCACCAUGAUGUCAGGAGGUGGAGCCCAAAUGAUGUCAGGAGGUGGAGCCCAAAUGAUGUCAGGAGGUGGAGGCAUGAUGUCCAGUGGCAUGUCUUUAGACGGUUCCAUGAUAUCUGGUGGCAUGGUGUCAUGUGGUGGCUCUGAAAUGAUGUCAUCAGGUGGAGCCAUGUCAGGCGGCAUGAUGUCAUCAGGUGGCUCCAUGAUGUCAGGAGGUGGAGCCAUGAUGUCAGGAGGUGGCUCUGAAAUGAUGUCAUCAGGUGGAGCCAUGAUGUCAGGAGGUGGGGCCCAAAUGAUGUCAGGAGGUGGGGCCCAAAUGAUGUCAGGAGGUGGAGGCCAAAUGAUGUCAUCAGGUGGAGCCAUGGCAGGCGGCAUGAUGUCAUCAGGUGGCACCAUGAUGUCAGGGGGAGAAACGAUGUCCAUGUCUGGUGGCUCAAUGUCAUCCUCCACCAGCUUCUCCUCUUAGAAGGCCCCCCUCUCGUGGCGUGGUGGCCACGGUAACGAUGGAACCUCUGAGUGUUCUGAGAGACACCCUUUGUCUUAACAACGGAACUCCCCUCUGGACAGAAGAAACCGCCAUUGAGUCUGCUUGCUGGUGAUACCUCUUUUUAAAUCCCACUUUAUAUUAAGUGCCCUUAUAAUAGUAUGCUGCCUGAACGAUGUUAAGUGCCCUUAUAAUAGUAUGCUCCGUGAACGAUGUUAAGUGCCCUCAUUACAGCGGACUUACGUGUGUAAUAAAGAAUAUUCUGUCCUUCACAGCAAAGUACACAUUAGUAUCCCUUUUAUUGGUGUCACAUGUCACUAUCCCUAACCCCAUGACACCAUGUCACAGAAUCUACUAAGAUUGAAAAUGACACUAUACCUCUUUGGCAUUGAGGAUAAAGUAUUAAGGACUAAGGCACAUAAAAGGCACUUCAUAUUAAGUGGAUCCCACCUUUCUCACUGGCUUUCAUAGUCACUGUAUCGUUCUUUAUCAAGCAAUUUGCAUUAUAGAGUAUAAAACUAUGUGCCAUGAAACAUUUCUUAAGAAAUUACUUUCUUUUUGACACAUGGCAGUGGCUUUAAAAUAAAUAAAUAAAUAAUCAACUACUGGGUGACGGACACAGAAAGUAUAGCGGGAAAUGUUAUAUUCUAGUUAAAUGUUGAUUUGUCUUUAAGACGAAAGAUCUGGGGCUCAGUUAAAUAUUUCAUGUAAGCUCCACUUAAAUGUUCUUGUUGCUAUGGUUAAGAGUUUUUGUUGCUAUGGUUGAGAGUUUAAAUGUUAAGGGCAUACCUCAGAGAGAAUAUGUUCUGGUAUGUUCCUAUUUUAAUGUUAAAAUAUGGUUCUGAGCUAUCAUGUAAAACAUUGCUCUCAUUUUACAUUUCUGAACAAAUGGGAUAAAAUAAGGGCACAAAAAAACAGUAAAAAAAUAAUAUAAGAAAAAAACCUGUCUUUGUUUUUCUCUGUUUUCUGUGUUGAAACACUAUCUUCCUUUAAAUGGUGAUGCCAAUAAAGCGUAUUGAAUUGACCUAAUUCAGACAUACACAACACAUACACCAUUUACCAUCUCUCUGCAUAGACACACACACAUACACACAAUUUUCUCUACAUACUGCUCUUCGGAACGCUACAUAUAUUCCUGCGCGUUUAUUAUAUUCCAAGGUUGUUUUUUUUCUUUCUACCUUUAAUCUUAUUGCUGUGAUGGAUGACAAAAUGAAGACAAAUGAAUGUGGAAAGUAAUAAACACCUCACUGAACUUUGAAGAGCUCUCUGAAUCUGAUUUAUGUGUUUGACUGAAUGUGUGUUGAAGGCAAGUGUAAUGCCAACUACAGCAGCUUGAUAACAAUACAAAUUCUGACAGUCUUUUAAAGUAUAUCAUUACUAUAAUGUAUGCUGAAUCAUUUAUAAUAAUAAUUUACAGGGGAACAUAACACCAUAAUUUUAAGCUAUACAGGACAGUAAUAUAAAAUCAGUCUAAGAAAAGAAGGCCCUCUCUACAACCCAAGACCAAUGCUAA
Molecule: long non-coding RNA, 2253 nt
Organism: Clupea harengus (Atlantic herring)
Lineage: Eukaryota; Metazoa; Chordata; Actinopteri; Clupeiformes; Clupeidae
Source: Ensembl